This 620-nucleotide ribosomal RNA is filed under the name Vibrio sp. Its description in RNAcentral is "bacterial SSU rRNA". It matches the Rfam family "Bacterial small subunit ribosomal RNA", at positions 69 to 661 of the family's 1533-position model. Lineage: Bacteria; Pseudomonadati; Pseudomonadota; Gammaproteobacteria; Vibrionales; Vibrionaceae. The record is from RNAcentral.
GAUCUCGGAAACGAUUUAUCUGAACCUUCGGGGAACGAUAACGGCGUUCAGCGACGUACGGGUGAGUAAUGCCUAGGAAAUUGCCCUGAUGUGGGGGAUAACCAUUGGAAACGAUGGCUAAUACCGCAUAAUACCUACGGGUCAAAGAGGGGGACCUUCGGGCCUCUCGCGUCAGGAUAUGCCUAGGUGGGAUUAGCUAGUUGGUGAGGUAAUGGCUCACCAAGGCGACGAUCCCUAUCUGGUCUGAGAGGAUGAUCAGUUACACUGGAACUGAGACACGGUCCAGACUCAUACGGGAGGCAGCAGUGGGGAAUAUUGCACAAUGGGCGCAAGCCUGAUGCAGCCAUGCCGCGUGUGUGAAGAAGGCCUUCGGGUUGUAAAGCACUUUCAGUCGUGAGGAAGGUAGUGUAGUUAAUAGCUGCAUUAUUUGACGUUAGCGACAGAAGAAGCACCGGCUAACUCCGUGCCAGCAGCCGCGGUAAUACGGAGGGUGCGAGCGUUAAUCGGAAUUACUGGGCGUAAAGCGCAUGCAGGUGGUUUGUUAAGUCAGAUGUGAAAGCCCGGGGCUCAACCUCGGAAUAGCAUUUGAAACUGGCAGACUAAAGUACUGUAGAGGGGGG